RNAcentral lists this ribosomal RNA (274 nucleotides) under uncultured bacterium. Its description in RNAcentral is "partial 16S ribosomal RNA". It matches the Rfam family "Bacterial small subunit ribosomal RNA", at positions 523 to 796 of the family's 1533-position model. The record is from RNAcentral.
AUACGGAGGGUCCAAGCGUUAUCCGGAUUCAUUGGGUUUAAAGGGUCCGCAGGCGGGAAAAUAAGUCAGUGGUGAAAGCCUACAGCUCAACUGUAGAACUGCCAUUGAUACUGUUUUUCUUGAGUAUAGAUGAAGUGGGCGGAAUAUAUCAUGUAGGGGUGAAAUGCAUAGAUAUGAUAUAGAACACCGAUUGCGAAGGCAGCUCACUAAACUAUUACUGACGCUCAGGGACGAAAGCGUGGGGAGCGAACAGGAUUAGAAACCCUAGUAGUCC